RNAcentral lists this ribosomal RNA (377 nucleotides) under uncultured bacterium. RNAcentral's name for it is "bacterial SSU rRNA". It matches the Rfam family "Bacterial small subunit ribosomal RNA", at positions 523 to 898 of the family's 1533-position model. The record is from RNAcentral.
AAACGUAGGAGGCGAGCGUUAUCCGGAUUUACUGGGCGUAAAGGGCAAGUAGGCGGUGGCCAAAGUUGGGCGUGACAUCUCCCGGCUCAACUGGGAGGGGUCGUUCAAAACUAGGUCACUAGAGGGCAGGAGAGGGAAGCGGAAUUCCUAGUGUAGCGGUGGAAUGCUCAGAUAUUAGGAAGAACACCAGUGGCGAAGGCGGCUUCCUGGCCUGUACCUGACGCUGAGAGGCGAAAGCUAGGGUAGCAAACGGGCUUAGAUACCCCGGUAGUCCUAGCUGUAAACGUUGGAUACUGGGUAUUGGGGGUGACAAUGCCCUCAGUGCCGAAGCAAACGCGUUAAGUAUCCCGCCUGGGGACUACGGCCGCAAGGUUAAA